This is a long non-coding RNA of Onthophagus taurus, 649 nucleotides long. RefSeq lists it as uncharacterized. Lineage: Eukaryota; Metazoa; Arthropoda; Insecta; Coleoptera; Scarabaeidae. The record is from RefSeq and is a predicted model, not a curated record.
AGUAGCGACGACUGAUUCGCUGACGAAUUUUUUAUUAAGUACGUUUUCCUCCAUGGUCGUCAGUCGUCGACGUUUAGUUCGCAAGUAUACAGUGUAUAUUGUGUAUUUUCUUAGACUCGAGACAAAACGUAUAAAGAUGAACAAAUUUCGGAAAGUGAAGAAAAAAGGAAAAAAAUAUCAUCCAUGUUUCAGCGGAGAAAAUUGGAAGGAUUUCAAUCAAUAUUGGUAAACCAGUAUUUAAAAGAUAAUGAAACCAGAUUUAAAGAGUUUUUUCGAAUCACACGACAUCAAUUUAAUUAUAUAUUGGAACUCAUCCAAGAUGAUCUUGUAACAAAACCCUACAACCGUGUGAAGGACCCAAUAACACCAGGAGAAAAAUUGGCAAUAACGUUAAGGUUUCUUGCAACAGGGGAGUCUUACAGAUCUAUAUCAUUUGCGUUUCGAAUCUCCUACAGCUACAUCAGCGUGUUUGUACCAAUUGUCCUACAAAGUUUGUGUAAAAAACUAAUGCCAAUUCUACUACCACAUCCUUCAGAACUUGAUUUAAAAGGAAAGCCUGAAGAAUUUUGGAAUCGUUGGAAUUUUCCUAACGUUAUCACAGCCAUCGACGGAAAACACAUACGAAUUAUGUGUCCAGAUAAGAGGCCGG